CACUAAUGUCAUUCACUUGCCAAAUCAUUUAAACUAUGAGACAUGGGAUUUUUCCAGCGACUUUUUGGCUCUAAAAGGGCUGGGCCUUCGCCGCCCGCCAAGGAGAAGAGAAGGUGGAGCUUCGCUAGAUCUUCCAAUACGAUUCCGUCUCAGUUCAAUAAGUAUGAAUCUGUAUCGGGUCCGUAUGAUGAUAAUUUGGAUGCAAACAAGCACGCCAUAGCUGUUGCAGCGGCCACUGCGGCAGUUGCGGAGGCAGCACCCGCACUCGCGGCGGCUCAAGCAGCAGCAGAGGUCGUGAGAUUAACUAGUGUUGGCCGCGGCGGUGGUGGGAGAAGUUCUGCACCAGGUCAAGCCAGUGGGAGUGACCAUCGGCGAGAGGAGGAACUCUCCGCGGUCAAGAUACAGUCAGCGUUUCGUGGUUAUCUGGCUAGAAGGGCU
This 438-nucleotide unclassified non-coding RNA is filed under the name Hevea brasiliensis (rubber tree). The record is from RNAcentral. Lineage: Eukaryota; Viridiplantae; Streptophyta; Magnoliopsida; Malpighiales; Euphorbiaceae.